Molecule: long non-coding RNA, 315 nt
Filed under: Calidris pugnax (ruff)
Lineage: Eukaryota; Metazoa; Chordata; Aves; Charadriiformes; Scolopacidae
Description: lncRNA (ENSCPUG00000010755.1)
Source: RNAcentral
AACUGGGAGCACUGGGGUCAUACUGGGAGCACUGGGACCCCCAACUGGGAGCACUGGGAGCUCUGGGGUGGUGCUUGAAGAGCUGUGUCUCUGGCAUCGCACUGGUCCGUACUGGUUUUUACUGGUCUAUAUGGUCCAUACUGGUCUGUACUGGUUCUUACUGGCCCAUAUGGUCCAUACUGGUUUGUACUGGUCCAUAUGGUCCAUAGUGGUUUUUACUGGUCCAUAUGAUCCAUACUGGUUCGUACUGGUUCUUACUGGUCUGUACUGGUCCACAUGGUCCGUACUGGUUCUUACUGGUCCAUGUGGUCCGUA